UGAUCUUAGCCAAAAGGCCG
RNAcentral lists this non-coding RNA (20 nucleotides) under Arabidopsis thaliana (thale cress). RNAcentral also lists the same sequence under 1 other name. Lineage: Eukaryota; Viridiplantae; Streptophyta; Magnoliopsida; Brassicales; Brassicaceae. The record is from RNAcentral.